GAUGAACGCUAGCGGCAGGCCUAAUACAUGCAAGUCGGACGGGAUUCAGGAGCUUGCUUCUGAUGAGAGUGGCGCACGGGUGCGUAACACGUAUGUAACCUACCUUUAUCAGGGGGAUAGCCUCUCGAAAGAGAGAUUAAGCCCGCAUAAAAUCACAGCACAGCAUUGUGUAAUGAUCAAAUAUUUAUAGGAUAAAGAUGGGCAUGCGGAACAUUGCUAGAUGGCGGGGUAACGGCCCACCAUGGCGACGAUGUUUAGGGGAUCUGAGAGGAUGGCCCCCCACACUGGUACUGAGACACGGACCAGACUCCUACGGGAGGCAGCAGUAAGGAAUAUUGGUCAAUGGGCGGAAGCCUGAACCAGCCAUGCCGCGUGCAGGAAGACGGCCCUACGGGUUGUAAACUGCUUUUAUACGGGAAUAAACCCAGAUACGUGUAUCUGGCUGACUGUACUGUAAGAAUAAGGAUCGGCUAACUCCGUG
This 481-nucleotide ribosomal RNA is filed under the name uncultured bacterium. Its description in RNAcentral is "partial 16S ribosomal RNA". It matches the Rfam family "Bacterial small subunit ribosomal RNA", at positions 28 to 507 of the family's 1533-position model. The record is from RNAcentral.